CUUAGUGGUGGGGUGACUGCGUACCUUUUGUAUAAUGGGUCAGCGACUUAUAUUCUGUAGCAAGGUUAACCGCAUAGGGGAGCCGGAGGGAAACCGAGUCUUAAUUGGGCGUUAAGUUGCAGGGUAUAGACCCGAAACCCGGUGAUCUAGCCAUGGGCAGGUUGAAGGUUGGGUAACACUAACUGGAGGACCGAACCGACUAAUGUUGAAAAAUUAGCGGAUGACCUGUGGCUGGGGGUGAAAGGCCAAUCAAACCGGGAGAUAGCUGGUUCUCCCCGAAAGCUAUUUAGGUAGCGCCUCGUGAAUUCAUCUCCGGGGGUAGAGCACUGUUUCGGCCAGGGGGCCAUCCCGGCUUACCAAUCCGAUGCAAACUGCGAAUACCGGAGAAUGUUAUCACGGGAGACACACGGCGGGUGCUAACGUCCGUCGUGAAGAGGGAAACAACCCAGACCGCCAGCUAAGGUCCCAAAGUCAUGGUUAAGUGGGAAACGAUGUGGGAAGGCCCAGACAGCCAGGAUGUUGGCUUAGAAGCAGCCAUCAUUUAAAGAAAGCGUAAUAGCUCACUGGUCGAGUCGGCCUGCGCGGAAGAUGUAACGGGGCUAAACCAU
This 608-nucleotide ribosomal RNA is filed under the name Salmonella enterica. RNAcentral describes it as "partial 23S ribosomal RNA". It matches the Rfam family "Bacterial large subunit ribosomal RNA", at positions 581 to 1190 of the family's 2925-position model. The record is from RNAcentral. Lineage: Bacteria; Pseudomonadati; Pseudomonadota; Gammaproteobacteria; Enterobacterales; Enterobacteriaceae. RNAcentral also lists the same sequence under 3 other names.